UACGGAGGGAGCUAGCGUUGUUCGGAAUUACUGGGCGUAAAGCGCACGUAGGCGGCUUUGUAAGUUAGAGGUGAAAGCCCGGGGCUCAACCCCCGGAAUUGCCUUUAAGACUGCAUCGCUUGAAUCCGGGAGAGGUGAGUGGAAUUCCGAGUGUAGAGGUGAAAUUCGUAGAUAUUCGGAAGAACACCAGUGGCGAAGGCGGCUCACUGGACCGGUAUUGACGCUGAGGUGCGAAAGCGUGGGGAGCAAACAGG
This 254-nucleotide ribosomal RNA is filed under the name uncultured bacterium. RNAcentral's name for it is "partial 16S ribosomal RNA". It matches the Rfam family "Bacterial small subunit ribosomal RNA", at positions 524 to 776 of the family's 1533-position model. The record is from RNAcentral.